This is a long non-coding RNA of Gasterosteus aculeatus aculeatus (three-spined stickleback), 2387 nucleotides long. The record is from Ensembl. Lineage: Eukaryota; Metazoa; Chordata; Actinopteri; Perciformes; Gasterosteidae.
UAUCCACAGUGUGGCAUGGUGGUGGAAGCAUCAUAUCCACAGUGAGGCAUGGUGGUGGAAGCAUCAUAUCCACAGUGAGGCAUGGUGGUGGAAGCAUCAUAUCCACAGUGAAGCAUGGUGGUGGAGGUGAUUCCUCGUCAGAAUUGAGGGACAGUUGGAUGGCGCCAAACACGCGGCAAUCCUUGAAGUAAAAUGGUUUUACCUCAAUCCAAUUGAGAGUCUAUGCCAAGAUUUGAAAAUUACUGUUCACAGAAUGUCUGUUUUCAAUCGGACUAAGCUUCAGCUUUUUUACCAAGAAGAACAAGCGAACAUUUCCAUCUCUAGAUGUGCAAAGCUGGUGGAGACAUACCACAAACUUUAAUUGCAACUGUAAUUGCACCGUGAGGGCAUUCUACCUAGUAUUGGCUCGGGUGGGGAGGGGCAGUGAAUACUUCCAACAGGUGUCAACUUUUUUGUUUUCAUCAUUGUUUGUGUCAAACUUAACAGUAUUUUGCACCUUCAAAGUAGUAUGCAUGUUGUGUUGACCAAAUGGGGAAAAGUUUAUUUGAAUUCCAGAUUGUAACUGUCGAAAAUGAAGGGUGAAUACUUGCAAGGCUCUAUAUAUUCAUGUCAAUGCUUACUUUUUCUCUUUUUUGAUGCAAAGGAUGGUAAACCCUAAAAUGCUAAUUUGUGAUAUUGGACUAUACAAAUAACAACGGGCUUAAACUGAAUUAAACGGUCAUCUGUUUGAUUCUCAAUAGUUCCUGAUUUUUAAAGGAGACUGAUUGCAUCAAUUUCAUUUUAACCUUAACUCCAACUACUAUUAUUAGAUUAAAUAAGUGGAUACAUACAUUAAAGAUCAAGGGUCAACCACAGUCAAUGGUGCAGUUAAAUAUGACUGAUUGAAGGUCAGCUCUGUGACCUUGAAUUUGAUUCAACAAGUAUGGAUGACUAAAAGAUACAUUGAUGAUGUACACUCCCAUUUGAAAGAGAGCUUCAUUUCCCACAUGGAUAUAUAUUAAGAGAUUAUGAACUUUGACAAUGACGAACAUAUCUCUGGCCGAUUAGAAAACUUGAAUCACCUGCUUCUCAUGCUUCUUUUUUUUCUCGGUGUGAAUGUGUGUGUGCAUGAGUUUCAAAUGUUCAGCCCAGGCAUCAGGAAGAAUCAAGUGUUUUGUAGAAGCUCAGAAGACUCCUUUGGGAUCAUAAAUAUUAAGAGUUGAUGAGACUGAUCUCAGGACAUAUUUUCGUUGCAUAAACCUGACUAUAUGAAUGUCGCAGUGAUUUUUCAGUUUUCUGUAAUUGACAUUGACUUUUUCAGGUGUUAUCUACCAGUCUCUUGUCUUUUCUUCUUAUUUUGUAUUUUCAGGACUUGUCUGGACAUCAAGACCCCGAGUGUAGGUGCCCCCCCCCCCAAGCUCGUUCUCAUACCCAGGUCACACACUUCUGCUUUGUGACGUACCGAGGCUCACAGACCUCACAGGCCGUCCACAGCAGGGUGAAGAUGCCUCCGGCUGCUAUCAACCAAUUUAAAAAAGGUUGUGCUUUGGAAUGUAACCAAAGAAAAACGAUCAGAUAACAACAUCAUUCACUUUCACCAACGCCACGCUCUCUUUCUCUGUUCGGAUGGAUUUUAACUGUUGUUUUUCCAAACAGCAAACAACAACUUGAAUACAUCUUAAAACUUUUUCAAAUAAGAAAUUGACUUUAGUGUAAAAAAAUGUUUCCCUACCUUGUUAAUCGCUUUGCGGAUCCCCAGGUUUACAUUUGGGGGGUCCCCAACCCACAGUUUAGGAAACAGUGGGGAGAUAUCUUCAUGGCGAUGCAUGCACAAACCAAAGAAAGACCUAAAAGUGUUGACAACCCCGCCGGCCAAAAAUCUACCUUUGGCUUAGAGUUGCACAAAAAUCAUGGAAAUGCCCCAAAUGCCGAAAUCCAAAUAUUGUUGUCUGCACUGAUUAUUUAUGGUAUAAUAUGUAUCGCACAACACUUGCCCACGCAUCUGCAGAGACGCACAAAGAAAGGAGCAAUACAUCACAGCUGAAACAAUCAAAUUGUUGGUGACACGAGCCAUAAAGGCGACACAAAACAUGAGGUGUUGUUCAGAUUUGAAGGCAGGCCUGAAAUUGAAAAUAAAGCUGUGUAUUAUUUGUGAUUGGGUUUGCCCCCCCUCCCCCUCCCCAUCUGGUUCUUUCCAGUGCACCUGAUAACCAGAACACACACUGAGGCAUCAGCUUCCCCUCUGUUCAUUCAUACCAUUUAGCUGCUUAAUGAGCUCCUCAAUCAUGCACGCAAAAGAAGAAUCAACAAACCAACGCGUCCAUCCUUCCCAGUUAAAGAAGUGCUCAGUUAGCUUUAGACAUGGGGGAGGGGGGGGGGGUAUUCGCUGUCAACACGUCACUUGAGAG